Molecule: ribosomal RNA, 972 nt
Filed under: Rhodococcus erythropolis
Lineage: Bacteria; Bacillati; Actinomycetota; Actinomycetes; Mycobacteriales; Nocardiaceae
Description: bacterial SSU rRNA
Rfam family: Bacterial small subunit ribosomal RNA
Source: RNAcentral
GGCGAAGGGUGAGUAACACGUGGGUGAUCUGCCCUGCACUUCGGGAUAAGCCUGGGAAACUGGGUCUAAUACCGGAUAUGACCUCAUGUUGCAUGACUUGUGGUGGAAAGAUUUAUCGGUGCAGGAUGGGCCCGCGGCCUAUCACCUUGUUGGUGGGGUAAUGGCCUACCAAGGCGACAACAGGUAGCCGACCUGAGAGGGUGACCGGCCACACUGGGACUGAGACACGGCCCAGACUCCUACGGGAGGCAGCAGUGGGGAAUAUUGCACAAUGGGCGAAAGCCUGAUGCAGCGACGCCCCGUGAGGGAUGACGGCCUUCGGGUUGUAAACCUCUUUCAGCAGGGACGAAGCGCAAGUGACGGUACCUGCAGAAGAAGCACCGGCUAACUACGUGCCAGCAGCCGCGGUAAUACGUAGGGUGCAAGCGUUGUCCGGAAUUACUGGGCGUAAAGAGUUCGUAGGCGGUUUGUCGCGUCGUUUGUGAAAACCAGCAGCUCAACUGCUGGCUUGCAGGCGAUACGGGCAGACUUGAGUACUGCAGGGGAGACUGGAAUUCCUGGUGUAGCGGUGAAAUGCGCAGAUAUCAGGAGGAACACCGGUGGCGAAGGCGGGUCUCUGGGCAGUAACUGACGCUGAGGAACGAAAGCGUGGGUAGCGAACAGGAUUAUAUACCCUGGUAGUCCACGCCGUAAACGGUGGGCGCUAGGUGUGGGUUCCUUCCACGGAAUCCGUGCCGUAGCUAACGCAUUAAGCGCCCCGCCCUGGGGGAGUACGGCCGCAAGGCUAAAACUCAAAGGAAUGUGACUGGGGGCCCGCACAAGCGGCGGAGCAUGUGGGAUUAAUUCGAUGCAACGCGGAGGACCUUACCUGGGUGUGACAUAUACCGGGAAGCUGCAGAGAUGUGGGCCCCCCCUUGUUGGUCGGUAUACAGUGUGCAUGACUGUCGUCAGCUCGUGUCGUGAGAUGUUGGG